Molecule: long non-coding RNA, 259 nt
Filed under: Brassica rapa (field mustard)
Lineage: Eukaryota; Viridiplantae; Streptophyta; Magnoliopsida; Brassicales; Brassicaceae
Description: long non-coding RNA (BRAP_LNC001976)
Source: RNAcentral
GGACAGAAAAAAAAAAGAAAAAACUAUGAAAUAGGUGAAUCCGUAAAUUAUCUAUUUUCUGAUCAACAAAAUACUUAGAUUAAGAGAUAGGUUUUAAGAUAUAAAAGAUGGUUUACUGAUUAAAUGGGCUGCUAAACAACAUUUCGAGAGCCCAUCAGCAAGACCAUUUAGGAAGUGAGGAAUGUAAAUGAAACGAGAAGACCUAAAAGAUGAAGACGGUGAGUAAGCUAAGUCGUCAAUAUUGGCGAGAACCCCGAAG